Molecule: non-coding RNA, 29 nt
Filed under: Mus musculus (house mouse)
Lineage: Eukaryota; Metazoa; Chordata; Mammalia; Rodentia; Muridae
Source: RNAcentral
GCUAACUUACGUUUUACCUUCCUGUUGGG